GCUCCAAUGGCGCAAUGGUAGCGCGCAAGACUUCUACUACACAUUUGAAUGAAAUAGUUCACGUGAUAUCUUGAGGUUGAGGGUUCGAGCCCCUCUUGGAGUGC
This 104-nucleotide transfer RNA is filed under the name Pseudogymnoascus destructans. Its description in RNAcentral is "partial tRNA-Arg". It matches the Rfam family "tRNA". From Rfam's summary of the family: Transfer RNA (tRNA) molecules are approximately 80 nucleotides in length. Their secondary structure includes four short double-helical elements and three loops (D, anti-codon, and T loops). Further hydrogen bonds mediate the characteristic L-shaped molecular structure. tRNAs have two regions of fundamental functional importance: the anti-codon, which is responsible for specific mRNA codon recognition, and the 3' end, to which the tRNAs corresponding amino acid is attached (by aminoacyl-tRNA synthetases). tRNAs cope with the degeneracy of the genetic code in two manners: having more than one tRNA (with a specific anti-codon) for a particular amino acid; and 'wobble' base-pairing, i.e. permitting non-standard base-pairing at the 3rd anti-codon position. The record is from RNAcentral. Lineage: Eukaryota; Fungi; Ascomycota; Leotiomycetes; Thelebolales; Thelebolaceae.